UUGGAGGGCAAGUCUGGUGCCAGCAGCCGCGGUAAUUCCAGCUCCAGUAGCGUAUAUUAAAGUUGUUGCAGUUAAAAAGCUCGUAGUUGAAUUUCGAGACCGGCUUACUGGUCGUGCUUUUGUACGUACUGGUAUAAUCGGUCUCUCCUUUCUGACGAACUAUAAUGCCAUUAAUUUGGUGUUAUAGGGAAUCAGGACUGUUACUUUGAAAAAAUUAGAGUGUUUAAAGCAGGCUCACGCUUGAGUACAUUAGCAUGGAAUAACGGAAUAGGACGUUUGAUUCUAUUUUGUUGGUUUCUAGGAUCGACGUAAUGAUUAAUAGGGAUAGUUGGGGGCAUUAGUAUUCAAUUGUCAGAGGUGAAAUUCUUGGAUUUAUUGAAGACUAACUACUGCGAAAGCAUUUGCCAAGGAUGUUUUCAUUAAUCAAGAACGAAAGUUAGGGGAUCGAAGACGAUCAGAUACCGUCGUAGUCUUAACCAUAAACUAUGCCGACUAGGGAUCGGAUGGAUUAGUUUUAAUUUUU
RNAcentral lists this ribosomal RNA (523 nucleotides) under uncultured Glomeraceae. RNAcentral's name for it is "SSU rRNA". It matches the Rfam family "Eukaryotic small subunit ribosomal RNA", at positions 548 to 1076 of the family's 1831-position model. The record is from RNAcentral. Lineage: Eukaryota; Fungi; Glomeromycota; Glomeromycetes; Glomerales; Glomeraceae.